UUGUGUGUUAGUGGAACGGUCAGGAAAGUCCGACGGUACAGGGUGAUAGUCCCGUACACCAAAAUGCACAGGCUGUGAACUCGAUGAGUAGGGCGGGACACGUGGUAUCCUGUCUGAAUAUGGGGGGACCAUCCUCCAAGGCUAAAUACUCCUGACUGACCGAUAGUGAACCAGUACCGUGAGGGAAAGGCGAAAAGAACCCCGGCGAGGGGAGUGAAAAAGAACCUGAAACCGUGUACGUACAAGCAGUGGGAGCACCUUCGGGUGUGACUGCGUACCUUUAGUAUAAUGGGUCAGCGACUUAUAUUCUGUAGCAAGGGUAACCGUAUAGGGU
This 334-nucleotide ribosomal RNA is filed under the name Klebsiella pneumoniae. Its description in RNAcentral is "bacterial LSU rRNA". It matches the Rfam family "Bacterial large subunit ribosomal RNA", at positions 322 to 663 of the family's 2925-position model. Lineage: Bacteria; Pseudomonadati; Pseudomonadota; Gammaproteobacteria; Enterobacterales; Enterobacteriaceae. The record is from RNAcentral.